This 497-nucleotide ribosomal RNA is filed under the name uncultured bacterium. Its description in RNAcentral is "partial 16S ribosomal RNA". It matches the Rfam family "Bacterial small subunit ribosomal RNA", at positions 28 to 507 of the family's 1533-position model. The record is from RNAcentral.
GAUGAACGCUGGCGGCGUGCCUAAUACAUGCAAGUCGAGCGAACGGACGAGAAGCUUGCUUUUCUGAUGUUAGCGGCGGACGGGUGAGUAACACGUGGAUAACCUACCUAUAAGACUGGGAUAACUUCGGGAAACCGGAGCUAAUACCGGAUAAUAUUUUGAACCGCAUGGUUCAAAAGUGAAAGACGGUCUUGCUGUCACUUAUAGAUGGAUCCGCGCUGCAUUAGCUAGUUGGUAAGGUAACGGCUUACCAAGGCAACGAUGCAUAGCCGACCUGUGAGGGUGAUCGGCCACACUGGAACUUGGACACGGUCCAGACUCCUACGGGAGGCAGCAGUAGGGAAUCUUCCGCAAUGGGCGAAAGCCUGACGGAGCAACGCCGCGUGAGUGAUGAAGGUCUUCGGAUCGUAAAACUCUGUUAUUAGGGAAGAACAUAUGUGUAAGUAACUGUGCACAUCUUGACGGUACCUAAUCAGAAAGCCACGGCUAACUACGUG